Long non-coding RNA from Cyprinus carpio (common carp), 372 nucleotides. RefSeq lists it as uncharacterized. NCBI's taxonomy places the organism in Eukaryota, Metazoa, Chordata, Actinopteri, Cypriniformes, Cyprinidae. The record is from RefSeq and is a predicted model, not a curated record. The transcript is spliced from 3 exons.
UUGAUGUUCUUAAAUAACCCACCGGAAACCAGGAAGAAGUGGGCUGGCCGUGAGUGAAAGCGCGCAUGAUCUGUACAGGAGACAAAGUUGGGCGAAUUCCAAACGGAACUAACGGACUUCUGGAAGGGCCCUUCAUUGAAGAUGAAAAAGAGGAGGAUGAUGACGGUCCAGCGCAUACAAAGAGAAAGAAACCAAGAGAAGUGUCAUCGCAGAAGAAAUGGCAGAAGUUCCUCAGACACCUGUGAACACCGAGCAGUGCACAUCAUCUUCAUUAUACUUCUCUGACUGGAAUAGCAAGGAACAGUUAGAGUCCAUGACUACACGUCUGCACUGACCUUGAUUAUACUUUAUAAUAUAAUGUUUUCUGCAACA